RNAcentral lists this ribosomal RNA (273 nucleotides) under uncultured bacterium. Its description in RNAcentral is "partial 16S ribosomal RNA". It matches the Rfam family "Bacterial small subunit ribosomal RNA", at positions 524 to 796 of the family's 1533-position model. The record is from RNAcentral.
UACGUAGGGGGCGAGCGUUAUCCGGAUUUAUUGGGCGUAAAGCGCGCGCAGGCGGUCAGGUAAGUCGGAUGUGAAAGGCUACGGCUCAACCGUAGAGCGGCAUCCGAAACUGUUUGACUUGAGUGCAGGAGAGGAGAGUGGAAUUCCCGGUGUAGCGGUGGAAUGCGUAGAGAUCGGGAGGAACACCAGUGGCGAAGGCGACUCUCUGGACUGUAACUGACGCUGAGGCGCGAAAGCGUGGGGAGCAAACAGGAUUAGAAACCCCCGUAGUCC